Molecule: non-coding RNA, 146 nt
Organism: Podarcis lilfordi (Lilford's wall lizard)
Lineage: Eukaryota; Metazoa; Chordata; Lepidosauria; Squamata; Lacertidae
Source: the annotation of a GenBank genome assembly
CCCCCUGGCUCACCAUAAGUGGCUCCCACUUUGCCGCUUUACAGCGAGCCGGAGAGGGAGGGAGGGGGAACCGUGGCUCCCGUCCGCCCCUCCCUGGCUCGCUGUAAAGCAGCAAAGCAGUAGCUGCUUACGGUGAGCUGGGGAGG